Molecule: ribosomal RNA, 354 nt
Filed under: unidentified
Description: Burmoniscus sp. partial 12S ribosomal RNA
Source: RNAcentral
UAGAUACCCUAUUAUUGAGAUCAUAAAAUCUAAGGUAGUAGUUGCUGUAAUCUUGAAACCUAAAGAAUUUGGCGGUACCAAAUUAAAUCAGAGGAACCUGUUUAUUAAUCGAUAGUCCACGCUGCUUCUUCCUUUUUAUAAGCUUGUAUACCGUCAUCCAUAGAAAAUUCUUUAGAAAAAUUCUCGUUUGUAGAGACACAUAAGUUAGAUCAAGGUGCAGCAUUUAAAAGCAUUUAAUGGGUUACAAUUAAGGUCAGAUUGGAAUCCUUACUUAAAAAAGGAGAAAACCGGAUUUGAAAGUAAUUCUAGUUCAAUAAGCUAGAAUGAGUAGUUUUUAGGUAUGUACACAUCGCC